AGGGGGACCCCAAAACCGGGGAAUUAAGAUACCCCCGGUUAAGUCCCUAACUGUAAAACCGGUGGGAUACCUAAGGUUUUGGGGGGUAAUUCGACCCCCUCCCCGUGCCCGCAGUCAACACAAUUAAAGUAUCCCGCCUUGGGAANGUACGGCCGCAAGGGUUGAAACUCAAAGGAAUUGACGGGGGCCCGCACAACGGUGGAGCAUGUGGUUUAAUUCGACGCAACGCGAAGAACCUUACCCAGGCUCGAAAUGUUAGGGACACCCCUGGAAACAGGGUCUCCUUCCUUCGGGAAGGUCCUAGUAUAGGUGCUGCAUGGCUGUCGUCAGCUCGUGUCGUGAGAUGUUGGGUUAAGUCCCGCAACGAGCGCAACCCUUGUCGUUAGUUACCAGCGGGUAAAGCCGGGGACUCUAGCGAGACUGCCCGUGACAAACGGGAGGAAGGUGGGGACGACGUCAAGUCAUCAUGGCCCUUACGUCUGGGGCUACACACGUGCUACAAUGGCCGGUACAGAGAGAAGCAAGACCGCGAGGUGGAGCAAAUCUUCAAAACCGGUCCCAGUUCGGAUUGGAGUCUGCAAUUCGACUCCAUGAAGUUGGAAUCGCUAGUAAUCGCGGAUCAGCACGCCGCGGUGAAUACGUUCCCGGGCCUUGUACACACCGCCCGUCACACCACGAAAGUUAGUUGUACCAGAAGUCGCUGAACCAACCCGUAAGGGAGGAAGGUGCCGAAGGUAUGGCCGCUAAUUGGGGUGAAGUCGUACAAGGUAGCCGUAUCGGAAGGUGCGGCUGGAUCACCU
RNAcentral lists this ribosomal RNA (800 nucleotides) under uncultured bacterium. RNAcentral's name for it is "bacterial SSU rRNA". It matches the Rfam family "Bacterial small subunit ribosomal RNA", at positions 761 to 1528 of the family's 1533-position model. The record is from RNAcentral.